Molecule: ribosomal RNA, 301 nt
Filed under: uncultured bacterium
Lineage: Bacteria
Description: partial 16S ribosomal RNA
Rfam family: Bacterial small subunit ribosomal RNA
Source: RNAcentral
CAGCCGCCACGGUAAUACGAAGGGUGCAAGCGUUAAUCGGAAUUACUGGGCGUAAAGGGUGCGUAGGCGGUGGUUUAAGUCCGUUGUGAAAGCCCUGGGCUCAACCUGGGAAUUGCAGUGGAUACUGGGUCACUAGAGUGUGGUAGAGGAUAGUGGAAUUUCCGGUGUAGCAGUGAAAUGCGUAGAGAUCGGAAGGAACAUCUGUGGCGAAGGCGACUAUCUGGGCCAACACUGACACUGAGGCACGAAAGCGUGGGGAGCAAACAGGAUUAGAUACCCCUGUAGUCCCUGUCUCUUAUAC